AUGGAGUGGCACGCGUGGCUGUCGUCGGCGCGGCUGGACCCGGCGCUGGUGCACGAGUACGCGCUGGUGCUGGCGCGCAACGAGCUGGAUGCCGCCGACGCCGCCUACUUCGACCACGACUUCCUCCGCAGCAUGGGCAUCGACGUCGCCAAGCACCGCCUCGAGAUCCUCAAGCUCGCGCGCCCUGGCCCCGGCCCCGGAGAGCGGGGCCGCCGCCGUACGUCCUCCUCCGCGGCGCCGCUCUCGGGCCUUGUGGCCGCCGUCGGCCGCGUCGCCAGGUACGUGCGCGCGCUCGUCCGCCUCCGCGGGGAGGAGUCGUCGUCGUCCACGGCACUCGUGCUGGUCCCGAGCCAGCAGCAGCAGCCUGACAGCCACGUCGACGUGGGCCGCUCGAGCUUCGGGCACUGCAAGGCGCCGAAGCGGACCAGGUCCAUGCCCAAGGCGCCAGGUACGACGUGCGCGCGCUCGUCCGCCGCGAGGGCCACGCGCCCGGCCGGCGGGUGCAGGGGCGCCGCGACGGUGCACGCCAUGAGGGACGCCGAGAGCGGCGGCGAGACGGUCCAGUGGGAAUGCCUGUUCCAGGACCUCAACCCCAACUGA
RNAcentral lists this ribosomal RNA (600 nucleotides) under Triticum aestivum (bread wheat). RNAcentral's name for it is "partial small subunit ribosomal RNA". The record is from RNAcentral. Lineage: Eukaryota; Viridiplantae; Streptophyta; Magnoliopsida; Poales; Poaceae.